GUCAUCUCGGUGUAGUGGUCGGGUGUAUGACGUAGGGGGCGGGCGUGGUCCGGAAUUAUGGGGCGUAAAGGGCUCGUAGGCGGUUUGUCGCGUCGGGAGUGAAAACACGUGGCUUAACUCCGUGCCUGCUGCCGAUACGGGCAGACUAGAGGUAUGCAGGGGAGAACGGAAUUCCUGGUGUAGCGGUGAAAUGCGCAGAUGUCAGGAGGAACACCGGUGGCGAAGGCGGUUCUCUGGGCAUUACCUGACGCUGAGGAGCGAAAGUGUGGGGAGCGAACAGGAUUAGAUACCCUUGUAGUC
RNAcentral lists this ribosomal RNA (300 nucleotides) under uncultured Lactobacillus sp. Its description in RNAcentral is "partial 16S ribosomal RNA". It matches the Rfam family "Bacterial small subunit ribosomal RNA", at positions 496 to 795 of the family's 1533-position model. Lineage: Bacteria; Bacillati; Bacillota; Bacilli; Lactobacillales; Lactobacillaceae. The record is from RNAcentral.